GGACGAACGCUGGCGGCGUGCCUAACACAUGCAAGUCGAACGGAGAUAUUUGGAUUGAGAUUCGAUUGAUUGAAGAGAUAUCUUAGUGGCGGACGGGUGAGUAACGCGUGAGUAACCUGCCCAUAAGAGGGGGAUAACGUUCUGAAAAGAAACGCUAAUACCGCGUAACAUAUUCAAAUCGCAUGAUUUGAAUAUCAAAGGAGCAAUCCGCUUAUGGAUGGACUCGCGUCCGAUUAGCUUGUUGGCGGGAUAACAGCCCACCAAGGCGACGAUCGGUAGCCGGACUGAGAGGUUGAACGGCCACAUUGGGACUGAGACACGGCCCAGACUCCUACGGGAGGCAGCAGUGGGGGAUAUUGCGCAAUGGGGGAAACCCGGACGCAAGCAACGCCGCGUGAAUGACGAAGGUCUUCGGAUUUGUAAAAGUUCUUUUGUUGAGGACGAAAAGAAUGACGGUACUCAACGAAUAAGCUCCGGCUAACUACGUGCCAGCAGCAGC
Molecule: ribosomal RNA, 499 nt
Filed under: uncultured bacterium
Lineage: Bacteria
Description: bacterial SSU rRNA
Rfam family: Bacterial small subunit ribosomal RNA
Source: RNAcentral